RNAcentral lists this ribosomal RNA (2902 nucleotides) under Acinetobacter baumannii. RNAcentral's name for it is "LSU rRNA". It matches the Rfam family "Bacterial large subunit ribosomal RNA". Lineage: Bacteria; Pseudomonadati; Pseudomonadota; Gammaproteobacteria; Moraxellales; Moraxellaceae. The record is from RNAcentral.
AGUCAAGUAAUUAAGUGCAUGUGGUGGAUGCCUUGGCAGUCAGAGGCGAUGAAAGACGUGAUAGCCUGCGAAAAGCUCCGGGGAGGCGGCAAAUAUCCUUUGAUCCGGAGAUGUCUGAAUGGGGGAACCCACCUACUUUAAGGUAGGUAUUGCAACAUGAAUACAUAGUGUUGCAAGGCGAACGAGGGGAAGUGAAACAUCUCAGUACCCUUAGGAAAAGAAAUCAAUUGAGAUUCCCUCAGUAGCGGCGAGCGAACGGGGAUCAGCCCAUUAAGUUAUGUGUGUUUUAGUGGAACGCUCUGGGAAGUGCGAACGUAGAGGGUGAUAUUCCCGUACACGAAAGGGCACACAUAAUGAUGACGAGUAGGGCGAGGCACGUGAAACCUUGUCUGAAUAUGGGGGGACCAUCCUCCAAGGCUAAAUACUCCUGACUGACCGAUAGUGAACCAGUACCGUGAGGGAAAGGCGAAAAGAACCCCUGUGAGGGGAGUGAAAUAGAUCCUGAAACCGCAUGCAUACAAGCAGUGGGAGCACCUUCGUGGUGUGACUGCGUACCUUUUGUAUAAUGGGUCAGCGACUUAUAUUCAGUAGCGAGGUUAACCGUAUAGGGGAGCCGUAGAGAAAUCGAGUCUUAAUAGGGCGUUUAGUUGCUGGGUAUAGACCCGAAACCAGGCGAUCUAUCCAUGAGCAGGUUGAAGGUUGGGUAACACUAACUGGAGGACCGAACCCACUGUCGUUGAAAAGCCAGGGGAUGACUUGUGGAUAGGGGUGAAAGGCUAAUCAAGCCUGGUGAUAGCUGGUUCUCCCCGAAAGCUAUUUAGGUAGCGCCUCGGACGAAUACCAUAGGGGGUAGAGCACUGUUUCGGCUAGGGGGUCAUCCCGACUUACCAAACCGAUGCAAACUCCGAAUACCUAUGAGUACUAUCCGGGAGACAGACUGCGGGUGCUAACGUCCGUAGUCAAGAGGAAAACAAUCCAGACCGCCAGCUAAGGCCCCAAAAUCAUAGUUAAGUGGGAAACGAUGUGGGAAGGCAUAGACAGCUAGGAGGUUGGCUUAGAAGCAGCCACCCUUUAAAGAAAGCGUAAUAGCUCACUAGUCGAGUCGGCCUGCGCGGAAGAUGUAACGGGGCUAAAACUAUGUGCCGAAGCUGCGGAUGUAUACUUUGUAUACGUGGUAGGGGAGCGUUCUGUAAGCCGAUGAAGGUGUGUUGAGAAGCAUGCUGGAGGUAUCAGAAGUGCGAAUGCUGACGUGAGUAACGACAAAACGGGUGAAAAACCCGUUCGCCGAAAGACCAAGGGUUCCAGUCCAACGUUAAUCGGGGCUGGGUGAGUCGACCCCUAAGGCGAGGCCGAAAGGCGUAGUCGAUGGGAAAAUGGUUAAUAUUCCAUUACUUCUGUGUAAUGCGAUGAGAGGACGGAGAAGGCUAAAUCAGCCUGGCGUUGGUUGUCCAGGUGAAAGGAUGUAGGCAUGUAUCUUAGGCAAAUCCGGGGUACUCUAUGCUGAGAUCUGAUAGCAAGCUGUACUUGUACAGCGAAGUGGUUGAUGCCAUGCUUCCAGGAAAAGUCUCUAAGCUUCAGUUACACAGGAAUCGUACCCGAAACCGACACAGGUGGUCAGGUCGAGUAGACCAAGGUGCUUGAGAGAACUCUGCUGAAGGAACUAGGCAAAAUGGUACCGUAACUUCGGGAGAAGGUACGCUGUUGUUGGUGAUGGAACUCGCUUCCUGAGCUGACGACAGCCGCAGAAACCAGGCCGCUGCAACUGUUUAUUAAAAACAUAGCACUCUGCAAACACGAAAGUGGACGUAUAGGGUGUGAUGCCUGCCCGGUGCUGGAAGGUUAAUUGAUGGGGUUAGCGUAAGCGAAGCUCUUGAUCGAAGCCCCAGUAAACGGCGGCCGUAACUAUAACGGUCCUAAGGUAGCGAAAUUCCUUGUCGGGUAAGUUCCGACCUGCACGAAUGGCAUAAUGAUGGCGGCGCUGUCUCCAGCAGAGGCUCAGUGAAAUCGAAAUCGCUGUGAAGAUGCAGUGUACCCGCGGCUAGACGGAAAGACCCCGUGAACCUUUACUGCAGCUUGACACUGAACUUUGACCUUACUUGUGUAGGAUAGGUGGGAGGCUUUGAAGCUGGAACGCUAGUUCCAGUGGAGCCGUCCUUGAAAUACCACCCUGGUAAUGUUGAGGUUCUAACUCUGUCCCGUGAUCCGGGACGAGGACCGUGUCUGGUGGGUAGUUUGACUGGGGCGGUCUCCUCCUAAAGAGUAACGGAGGAGUACGAAGGUGCGCUCAGCGUGGUCGGAAAUCACGCGUAGAGUAUAAAGGCAAAAGCGCGCUUAACUGCGAGACCCACAAGUCGAGCAGGUACGAAAGUAGGUCUUAGUGAUCCGGUGGUUCUGUAUGGAAGGGCCAUCGCUCAACGGAUAAAAGGUACUCUGGGGAUAACAGGCUGAUACCGCCCAAGAGUUCAUAUCGACGGCGGUGUUUGGCACCUCGAUGUCGGCUCAUCUCAUCCUGGGGCUGAAGCAGGUCCCAAGGGUAUGGCUGUUCGCCAUUUAAAGAGGUACGCGAGCUGGGUUUAGAACGUCGUGAGACAGUUCGGUCCCUAUCUACCGUGGGCGCUGGAAAUUUGAGAGGAUCUGCUCCUAGUACGAGAGGACCAGAGUGGACGAACCUCUGGUGUACCGGUUGUGACGCCAGUCGCAUCGCCGGGUAGCUAUGUUCGGAAGGGAUAACCGCUGAAAGCAUCUAAGCGGGAAGCCUACCUCAAGAUAAGAUUUCCCUAGGACUUUAUGUCCUCUAAAGAGCCGUUCGAGACUAGGACGUUGAUAGGUUGGAUGUGGAAGCAUAGUGAUAUGUGAAGCUGACCAAUACUAAUUGCUCGUGAGGCUUGACUAUACAACACCC